ACCUUUGCAAAUGGUUAAUGUGCUUGGCUGUUAACCAAGGGACUGGAGGUUCAAGACCACCCAGAGGUA
This 69-nucleotide transfer RNA is filed under the name Loxodonta africana (African savanna elephant). It matches the Rfam family "tRNA". From Rfam's summary of the family: Transfer RNA (tRNA) molecules are approximately 80 nucleotides in length. Their secondary structure includes four short double-helical elements and three loops (D, anti-codon, and T loops). Lineage: Eukaryota; Metazoa; Chordata; Mammalia; Proboscidea; Elephantidae. The record is from Rfam by way of RNAcentral.